UAAAGCGUGGAGCUUAACUCCAUAUCGGCGGUGGAAACUGAUGAACUAGAGGGUGGUAGGGGUCACGGGAAUUCCCAGUGUAGCGGUGAAAUGCGUAGAUAUUGGGAAGAACACCAGCGGCGAAAGCGCGUGACUGGGCCAUUACUGACACUCAUGGACGAAAGCUAGGGGAGCGAAAGGGAUUAGAUACCCCUGUAUUCCUAGCCGUAAACGAUGGACACUAGGUGUUGCCCGAUCGACCCGGGCAGUGCCGUAGCUAACGCGUUAAGUGUCCCGCCUGGGGAGUACGCACGCAAGUGUGAAACUCAAAGGAAUUGACGGGGGCCCGCACAAGCGGUGGAGUAUGUGGUUUAAUUCGAUGCAACGCGAAGAACCUUACCAGGGCUUGACAUGUCGCGAAUCCCCUUGAAAGGGGGGAGUGCCUUCGGGAGCGCGAGCACAGGUGGUGCAUGGCUGUCGUCAGCUCGUGUCGUGAGAUGUUGGGUUAAGUCCCGCAACGAGCGCAACCCACGUUUCUAGUUGCCAGCAUUCAGUUGGGCACUUUAGAGAGACUGCCGGU
This 559-nucleotide ribosomal RNA is filed under the name uncultured cyanobacterium. RNAcentral describes it as "bacterial SSU rRNA". It matches the Rfam family "Bacterial small subunit ribosomal RNA", at positions 596 to 1156 of the family's 1533-position model. Lineage: Bacteria; Bacillati; Cyanobacteriota. The record is from RNAcentral.